Molecule: ribosomal RNA, 253 nt
Filed under: uncultured bacterium
Lineage: Bacteria
Description: partial 16S ribosomal RNA
Rfam family: Bacterial small subunit ribosomal RNA
Source: RNAcentral
UACAGAGGUCUCAAGCGUUGUUCGGAUUCAUUGGGCGUAAAGGGUGCGUAGGCGGCGCGGUAAGUCGGGUGUGAAAUCUCGGGGCUUAACUCCGAAACUGCAUUCGAUACUGCCGUGCUUGAGGACUGGAGAGGAGACUGGAAUUUACGGUGUAGCGGUGAAAUGCGUAGAUAUCGUAAGGAAGACCAGUGGCGAAGGCGGGUCUCUGGACAGUUCCUGACGCUGAGGCACGAAGGCCAAGGGAGCAAACGGG